Molecule: ribosomal RNA, 486 nt
Filed under: uncultured bacterium
Lineage: Bacteria
Description: partial 16S ribosomal RNA
Rfam family: Bacterial small subunit ribosomal RNA
Source: RNAcentral
AUUGAACGCUGGCGGCAUGCCUUACACAUGCAAGUCGAACGGCAGCACGGGUGCUUGCACCUGGUGGCGAGUGGCGAACGGGUGAGUAAUACAUCGGAACAUGUCCUGUAGUGGGGGAUAGCCCGGCGAAAGCCGGAUUAAUACCGCAUACGAUCUACGGAUGAAAGCGGGGGACCUUCGGGCCUCGCGCUAUAGGGCUGGCCGAUGGCUGAUUAGCUAGUUGGUGGGGUAAAGGCCUACCAAGGCGACGAUCAGUAGCUGGUCUGAGAGGACGACCAGCCACACUGGGACUGAGACACGGCCCAGACUCCUACGGGAGGCAGCAGUGGGGAAUUUUGGACAAUGGGCGAAAGCCUGAUCCAGCAAUGCCGCGUGUAUGAAGAAGGCCUUCGGGUUGUAAAGCACUUUUGUCCGGAAAGAAAUCCUUGGCCCUAAUACGGUCGGGGGAUGACGGUACCGGAAGAAUAAGCACCGGCUAACUACGUG